Molecule: ribosomal RNA, 564 nt
Filed under: uncultured bacterium
Lineage: Bacteria
Description: partial 16S ribosomal RNA
Rfam family: Bacterial small subunit ribosomal RNA
Source: RNAcentral
UGGGGAAUAUUGGACAAUGGGCGCAAGCCUGAUCCAGCCAUGCCGCGUGAGUGAUGAAGGCCUUAGGGUUGUAAAGCUCUUUCGCCGGUGAAGAUAAUGACGGUAACCGGAGAAGAAGCCCCGGCUAACUUCGUGCCAGCAGCCGCGGUAAUACGAAGGGGGCUAGCGUUGCUCGGAAUCACUGGGCGUAAAGCGCACGUAGGCGGAUCGUUAAGUCAGGGGUGAAAUCCUGGGGCUCAACCUCAGAACUGCCCUUGAUACUGGCGAUCUCGAGUUCGAGAGAGGUUGGUGGAACUCCGAGUGUAGAGGUGAAAUUCGUAGAUAUUCGGAAGAACACCAGUGGCGAAGGCGGCCAAACUGGCUCGAUACUGACGCUGAGGUGCGAAAGCGUGGGGAGCAAAACAGGAUUAGAUACCCUGGUAGUCCACGCCGUAAAACGAUGGAUGCUAGCCGUUGGGGAGCUUGCUCUUCAGUGGCGCAGCUAACGCCUUAAGCAUCCCGCCUGGGGAGUACGGUCGCAAGAUUAAAACUCAAAUGAAUUGACGGGGUCAUAGCUGUUUCCUG